GCAAGUCGAACGGUAACAGGAAGCAGCUUGCUGCUUUGCUGACGAGUGGCGGACGGGUGAGUAAUGUCUGGGAAACUGCCUGAUGGAGGGGGAUAACUACUGGAAACGGUAGCUAAUACCGCAUAACGUCGCAAGACCAAAGAGGGGGACCUUCGGGCCUCUUGCCAUCGGAUGUGCCCAGAUGGGAUUAGCUAGUAGGUGGGGUAACGGCUCACCUAGGCGACGAUCCCUAGCUGGUCUGAGAGGAUGACCAGCCACACUGGAACUGAGACACGGUCCAGACUCCUACGGGAGGCAGCAGUGGGGAAUAUUGCACAAUGGGCGCAAGCCUGAUGCAGCCAUGCCGCGUGUAUGAAGAAGGCCUUCGGGUUGUAAAGUACUUUCAGCGGGGAGGAAGGCGUUGAGGUUAAUAACCUUGUCAAUUGACGUUACCCGCAGAAGAAGCACCGGCUAACUCCGUGCCAGCAGCCGCGGUAAUACGGAGGGUGCAAGCGUUAAUCGGAAUUACUGGGCGUAAAGCGCACGCAGGCGGUCUGUCAAGUCGGAUGUGAAAUCCCCGGGCUCAACCUGGGAACUGCAUUCGAAACUGGCAGGCUAGAGUCUUGUAGAGGGGGGUAGAAUUCCAGGUGUAGCGGUGAAAUGCGUAGAGAUCUGGAGGAAUACCGGUGGCGAAGGCGGCCCCCUGGACAAAGACUGACGCUCAGGUGCGAAAGCGUGGGGAGCAAAACAGGAUUAGAUACCCUGGUAGUCCACGCCGUAAACGAUGUCGACUUGGAGGUUGUGCCCUUGAGGCGUGCUUCCGGAGCUAACGCGUUAAGUCGACCGCCUGGGGAGUACGGCCGCAAGGUAAAACUCAAAUGAAUUGACGGGGGCCCGCACAAGCGGUGGAGCAUGUGGGUUUAAUUCGAUGCAACGCGAAGAACCUUACCUACUCUUGACAUC
RNAcentral lists this ribosomal RNA (942 nucleotides) under Enterobacter sp. 'CIFT MFB 15138 2ps3'. Its description in RNAcentral is "bacterial SSU rRNA". It matches the Rfam family "Bacterial small subunit ribosomal RNA", at positions 57 to 988 of the family's 1533-position model. Lineage: Bacteria; Pseudomonadati; Pseudomonadota; Gammaproteobacteria; Enterobacterales; Enterobacteriaceae. The record is from RNAcentral.